Molecule: transfer RNA, 75 nt
Filed under: Nonomuraea dietziae
Lineage: Bacteria; Bacillati; Actinomycetota; Actinomycetes; Streptosporangiales; Streptosporangiaceae
Also listed under: 7 other names
Description: tRNA-Val
Rfam family: tRNA
About the family: Transfer RNA (tRNA) molecules are approximately 80 nucleotides in length. Their secondary structure includes four short double-helical elements and three loops (D, anti-codon, and T loops). Further hydrogen bonds mediate the characteristic L-shaped molecular structure. tRNAs have two regions of fundamental functional importance: the anti-codon, which is responsible for specific mRNA codon recognition, and the 3' end, to which the tRNAs corresponding amino acid is attached (by aminoacyl-tRNA synthetases). tRNAs cope with the degeneracy of the genetic code in two manners: having more than one tRNA (with a specific anti-codon) for a particular amino acid; and 'wobble' base-pairing, i.e. permitting non-standard base-pairing at the 3rd anti-codon position.
Source: RNAcentral
GGGCGGUUAGCUCAGCGGUAGAGCACUCGCCUUACAAGCGAGGGGUCACUGGUUCGAUACCAGUACCGCCCACCA